RNAcentral lists this unclassified non-coding RNA (222 nucleotides) under Hevea brasiliensis (rubber tree). The record is from RNAcentral. Lineage: Eukaryota; Viridiplantae; Streptophyta; Magnoliopsida; Malpighiales; Euphorbiaceae.
AUGUGAAUUUUGGCUGAAAGAAAUUUCUAGGACACAUAGUAAGGUAGAGGGGUAUCAAGGUAGAUCCCAGUAAGGUAGAGGCUAUUCUGAAUUGGAAACCGCUCAGAAAUGUCACUGAAGUUCAUAGUUUCUUGGGUUUAGCUUGUUACUACCACCGUUUUGUGAAGAGAUGUAAAAUUUCAAUGGACUGAUAAAUGGCAGCAGAGUUUUGAUGAGUUGAAG